Small nucleolar RNA from Capsella rubella, 149 nucleotides. It matches the Rfam family "small nucleolar RNA snoR134". Lineage: Eukaryota; Viridiplantae; Streptophyta; Magnoliopsida; Brassicales; Brassicaceae. The record is from Rfam.
UAGCAGGAGCCUCCCGGGCUGAUCUGAUUACAAAAUAAGUACUUGAGGAACUUAGCCCCAAAGCUCCUGCUAUAUUGUUUUUUUGCCGUUUGUGUUGCAGAUUCGUCCUAUUCCUUAGGCUCUUCUGUGUCAAAAAAGCGGCUAUACCU